AAACCCGAUUGUUCUGAUACUAC
Molecule: non-coding RNA, 23 nt
Filed under: Arabidopsis thaliana (thale cress)
Lineage: Eukaryota; Viridiplantae; Streptophyta; Magnoliopsida; Brassicales; Brassicaceae
Source: RNAcentral